UAGGGAAUAUUGGACAAUGGGCGAAAGCCUGAUCCAGCCAUGCCGCGUGAGUGAUGAAGGCCUUCGGGUUGUAAAACUCUUUUCUGAGGGAAGAACAACCGGGCAAGGAAAUGUGCCCGGCCUGACGGUACCUCAGUAAUAAGCAACGGCUAACUCCGUGCCAGCAGCCGCGGUAAUACGGAGGUUGCGAGCGUUGUUCGGAAUAACUGGGCGUAAAGGGAGCGCAGGCGGUUUGGUAAGUCUGAAGUGAAAGCCCGGGGCUUAACCCCGGAAGUGCUUUGGAAACUGUCAAACUAGAGUACGUGAUAGGAGAGCGGAAUUCAGGGUGUAGCGGUGAAAUGCGUAGAUAUCCUGAGGAACACCGGUGGCGAAAGCGGCUCUCUGGUACGAAACUGACGCUGAGGCUCGAAAGCGUGGGGAUCAAACGGG
Molecule: ribosomal RNA, 429 nt
Filed under: uncultured bacterium
Lineage: Bacteria
Description: bacterial SSU rRNA
Rfam family: Bacterial small subunit ribosomal RNA
Source: RNAcentral